CAGGGAGGACAGGUGGUGGCAUGGUUGUCGUCAGCUCGUGUCGUGAGAUGUUGGUUAAGUCCCGCAACGAGCGCAACCCCUACGUUUAGUUGCUAACGCGUGAAGGCGAGCACUCUAGACGAACUGCCGUUGACAAAACGGAGGAAGGUGGGGAUGACGUCAAAUCAUCAUGCCCCUUAUGUUCUGGGCUACACACGUGCUACAAUGGCCGGUACAGACGGACGCAAAGCCGCGAGGUGGAGCAAAUCCUAAAAAGCCGGUCUCAGUUCGGAUUGCAGGCUGCAAUUCGCCUGCAUGAAGUCGGAAUCGCUAGUAAUCGCAGGUCAGCAUACUGCGGUGGAUACGUUCCCGGGCCUU
RNAcentral lists this ribosomal RNA (357 nucleotides) under uncultured Bacillus sp. RNAcentral describes it as "bacterial SSU rRNA". It matches the Rfam family "Bacterial small subunit ribosomal RNA", at positions 1026 to 1382 of the family's 1533-position model. The record is from RNAcentral. Lineage: Bacteria; Bacillati; Bacillota; Bacilli; Caryophanales; Bacillaceae.